UUAUACGGCGAAACUGCGAAUGGCUCAUUAAAUCAGUUAUCGUUUAUUUGAUAGCCCCUUACUACUUGGAUAACCGUGGUAAUUCUAGAGCUAAUACAUGCUGAAAACCCCGACUUCGGAAGGGAUGUAUUUAUUAGAUUAAAAACCAAUGCCCCUCGGGCUCACUGGUGAUUCAUGAUAACUUAUCGAAUCGCACGGCCUUGCGCCGGCGAUGGCUCAUUCAAAUUUCUGCCCUAUCAACUUUCGACGGCUGGAUCUGGGGCCGCCAUGGUGACAACGGGUAACGGAGGGUUAGGGCUCGGCCCCGGAGAAGGAGCCUGAGAAACGGCUACUACAUCCAAGGAAGGCAGCAGGCGCGCAAAUUACCCAAUCCCGACUCGGGGAGGUAGUGACAAUAAAUACUGAUACAGGGCUCUUUUGGGUCUUGUAAUUGGGAUGAGUACAAUUUAAUUCCCUUAACGAGGAACAAUUGGAGGGCAAGUCUGGUGCCAGCAGCCGCGGUAAUUCCAGCUCCAAUAGCGUAUAUUAAAGUUGUUGCAGUUAAAAAGCUCGUAGUUGAACCUUGGGCCUGGCUGGCCGGUCCGCCUCACCGCGUGCACUGGUCCGGCCGGGUCUUUCCCUCUGGGGAGCCGCAUGCCCUUCACUGGGCGUGUCGGGGAACCAGGACAUUUACUUUGAAAAAAUUAGAGUGUUCAAAGCAGGCUUAUGCUCGAAUACAUUAGCAUGGAAUAAUAGAAUAGGACGCGCGGUUCUAUUUUGUUGGUUUCUAGGACCGCCGUAAUGAUUAAUAGGGACAGUCGGGGGCAUCAGUAUUCAAUAGUCAGAGGUGAAA
This 832-nucleotide ribosomal RNA is filed under the name Ophiostoma canum. RNAcentral describes it as "SSU rRNA". It matches the Rfam family "Eukaryotic small subunit ribosomal RNA", at positions 74 to 916 of the family's 1831-position model. Lineage: Eukaryota; Fungi; Ascomycota; Sordariomycetes; Ophiostomatales; Ophiostomataceae. The record is from RNAcentral.